Molecule: non-coding RNA, 23 nt
Filed under: Cricetulus griseus (Chinese hamster)
Lineage: Eukaryota; Metazoa; Chordata; Mammalia; Rodentia; Cricetidae
Source: RNAcentral
CGAAUACCAGACGUCGAACCUGC